This 229-nucleotide unclassified non-coding RNA is filed under the name plant metagenome. RNAcentral's name for it is "partial contains small subunit ribosomal RNA, internal transcribed spacer 1, and 5.8S ribosomal RNA". The record is from RNAcentral.
UCUCCGUAGGUGAACCUGCGGAGGGAUCAUUACAGAGUUCAUGCCCUACCGGGUAGAUCUCCCACCCUAUGUUAUUAUUACUUUGUUGCUUUGGCGGGCCGUUAGGCUCCGGCCCGACUACCGGCCCCGGCUGGUAAGCGCCCGCCAGAGGAACCAAAACCCUGAAUAUUAGUGUCGUCUGAGUACUAAAUAAUAGUUAAAACUUUCAACAACGGAUCUCUUGGUUCUG